CCCGCGUCGGGCCCUGUGAGGGACGUCGUCGGACCUCGGUGGCCAAGGUGGGGAGGAUGUGUCGCUGUCACCUGCUGGUACUCCAGCCCCUGCCCCGGGUGGCCGACCCCCAGCAAGGCCUAGCCGGCAGUCCCAGAAGGAACAGCAUGUCCACCAGAAAAGACUGAAGAGGAGAGUUCGAGCCUCACCCUUUUUAUUCUUCUGAAAGCAAGUUUCACCAACGUUAACUUCAAAAGAUUAGAGGAAAAGUUUGAAUGGAAGAUUUUAGAGCAUAUAGAAGCAUAUGAACCUUCUGGGUGAAAUCUUUUUUCAGUCACAGACACAACAUUCUGCUCCGUGUCUGCAAAUGAAACAGAAGUUGCAGCCACGCGUAAACGUAACGAGAAGUACUUGGCGUCACAGCUCACUCAGCACAAAAAAUAAGCUAAAGGAAGACGUAAGAAAACACUUUAGCAAUUCAUCUCUUAAUAAUGUAAAGUGUCAACAUAAAAUUCUUUAAAUACAGAGUGUGAUUUUUAUCUUGACAGGGUUUCUUUGAGGUCUUCUGGGAACAAAUCUUUAAUUAUUGAGCAAUUCUGACUUAGGCAAUCACAUGCUUCAUUACUCAUCUCAGAAGCAGAGGGCUAUUCACAGAAUGAAGCUGUGCUGUUGGUGGAGGCGGUGGGGCGGGGGGCAGGUCUGCAGAGACAGACGGCGAGGUGGCCACCCCAAAAGGCUCGCUGGGACUUAACCGUGCACGAGAGGUUUUUACCAAAAUUCCAGGAGGUUCUGUUUGCCAAAUGUCUAAAAGUAAGGCGAUUAGAAAUAAAGCCAGAGGAAAGUUUACUCUCUCAUAUACACAUACAUGUAUAUUCUUAAUUGUUUCACAAAAUUAGGUACUGUCACUUGCUCCCCUCCCCCACCCCCAUACAUCUGCAGGACUGCACGCAACAUGAGGAGAUAAAUCGUGUGGUUCUGCCCACCGUGUCAUCCUCGCUGCCUGGUGUAGCCUGCGGCUCAUAGCCAGUACCCGAAAAAUUGAAAACCAAAAAGCGCAAAGGAAUGAAUGACUCUGUCAAUAAAUGCAUACCCACAGAGUCGUUAAUUGGAAUAUUCUUCUAUGCAGGUGUGUCGUGGUUGCCCCAAACGAGCCUCUGUUUGGGGACUAACUUGUUUCCAAAGGCUUCAUAUGUAUAGCUGACAAAUUUAAGCUGUUUUAAAAAAUGGCACCAAGAAUAACAGCACCUGUUAUUAACCCUAAUCACCCAGAAUCAACAAAUUUUAAGAUUUUGACAGGUUUGCUUCACUUUUUUUGAAUAAAAGAAAGCGUUGCAGAUAAUGUCGAAGUCCACAUUUUUCUGUCCUCAGUCUGUCUAAUCCCCCUCCUUCCGCCCGGGCAGCAGCUGUCAC
Pteropus alecto (black flying fox) is the source of this 1389-nucleotide long non-coding RNA. RefSeq lists it as uncharacterized. The transcript has 3 exons. Lineage: Eukaryota; Metazoa; Chordata; Mammalia; Chiroptera; Pteropodidae. The record is from RefSeq and is a predicted model, not a curated record.